This 529-nucleotide ribosomal RNA is filed under the name Alternaria alternata. RNAcentral describes it as "eukaryotic LSU rRNA". The stretch from base 161 to 314 matches the Rfam family "5.8S ribosomal RNA". The record is from RNAcentral. Lineage: Eukaryota; Fungi; Ascomycota; Dothideomycetes; Pleosporales; Pleosporaceae.
AUAUGAAGGCGGGCUGGAACCUCUCGGGGUUACAGCCUUGCUGAAUUAUUCACCCUUGUCUUUUGCGUACUUCUUGUUUCCUUGGUGGGUUCGCCCACCACUAGGACAAACAUAAACCUUUUGUAAUUGCAAUCAGCGUCAGUAACAAAUUAAUAAUUACAACUUUCAACAACGGAUCUCUUGGUUCUGGCAUCGAUGAAGAACGCAGCGAAAUGCGAUAAGUAGUGUGAAUUGCAGAAUUCAGUGAAUCAUCGAAUCUUUGAACGCACAUUGCGCCCUUUGGUAUUCCAAAGGGCAUGCCUGUUCGAGCGUCAUUUGUACCCUCAAGCUUUGCUUGGUGUUGGGCGUCUUGUCUCUAGCUUUGCUGGAGACUCGCCUUAAAGUAAUUGGCAGCCGGCCUACUGGUUUCGGAGCGCAGCACAAGUCGCACUCUCUAUCAGCAAAGGUCUAGCAUCCAUUAAGCCUUUUUUUCAACUUUUGACCUCGGAUCAGGUAGGGAUACCCGCUGAACUUAAGCAUAUCAAUAAGA